UACGUAGGUGGCGAGCGUUGUCCGGAUUUACUGGGCGUAAAGCGCGCGCAGGCGGCGGCUUAAGUCCUCUGUGAAAUCACCCGGCUCAACUGGGUGGCUGCGGAGGAGACUGGGUUGCUAGAGGGGCCUAGAGGCCGGUGGAACUCCCGGUGUAGUGGUGAAAUGCGUAGAGAUCGGGAAGAACACCAGUGGCGAAGGCGGCCGGCUGGGGGCGCCCUGACGCUGAGGCGCGAGAGCGUGGGGAGCAAACCGG
This 253-nucleotide ribosomal RNA is filed under the name uncultured bacterium. RNAcentral describes it as "partial 16S ribosomal RNA". It matches the Rfam family "Bacterial small subunit ribosomal RNA", at positions 524 to 776 of the family's 1533-position model. The record is from RNAcentral.